Molecule: long non-coding RNA, 243 nt
Filed under: Nicotiana benthamiana
Lineage: Eukaryota; Viridiplantae; Streptophyta; Magnoliopsida; Solanales; Solanaceae
Description: long non-coding RNA (NBEN_LNC028431)
Source: RNAcentral
CUUGUAAAGAAAGUGUUUUCUGAAAAUCUGUUUGCAAAGAAAGUGAUUUCUGCAAAGAAAGUGUUUUCUUCAAUUCUUUUAUCAAUUUGGAAGCAUUGAGAAAUUCACCAUACAAUUCAUCAUAGGUAUUUUGUAAAUCUUCAAAUGAGUGAGAGUUAGAUGUACUUACCUCUUCUUCUUCGUUUUCCAUGAGACAUAAUGCGCCGGCUUCAUUGCCCGAGCUGUCUGAGUCCCGUGAUACGC